Triticum aestivum (bread wheat) is the source of this 125-nucleotide non-coding RNA. The record is from Rfam. Lineage: Eukaryota; Viridiplantae; Streptophyta; Magnoliopsida; Poales; Poaceae.
CAUAUACUCCCUCCAUCCGAAAAUACAUGUCGGGGAAAUGGAUAAAAAUGGAUGUCUGUAGAACUAAAAUAUGUCUAGAUACAUCUAUUUCUCCGACAAGUAUUUCCGGACGGAGGGAGUACUUC